Ictidomys tridecemlineatus (thirteen-lined ground squirrel) is the source of this 3194-nucleotide non-coding RNA. NCBI's taxonomy places the organism in Eukaryota, Metazoa, Chordata, Mammalia, Rodentia, Sciuridae. The record is from RefSeq and is a predicted model, not a curated record.
AUUUUAUUUCCUCUCUGUAAUAUUUCUGUUCCGGGACCCUGAAAGGGAAGAUAUUGAAAAUAUUAGUUCUCAGCAAGAUGCCGCAUCUUGAGAAACACAGAAUGGGCCAGUCCAGUGUCUGCUGAUUUUUCAGCCCUGUCCCUCCCCUAGGUCCCUGGGCAGGGACUGCACUCAGUUUGACACACAGAGGGACAGACUUGGGGCCGGUGUCUGCAGGCUGGCUCACCGCAUGGCCACCCACAGCUCUGAUGCUUGUGGAGGCUGCUGCCCGCAGCAGCACCUUAGAACCGGCAGCCUUGGUGGUAGUCGUGGCUACUACAGCUUUCCACUUGAACUUGAUGAACUGGAGCUGGCCUUGGCCACCCUGGGAACAGGCCUCCCUGUCUUAUUCACACCCCCUGGCCAGUAUAGGGCACAAGCAGUCCAUCUGGUUCCCAUGGGGACUCUCUCCCAUGCUGGCUGCACCAGCUCCCCUGGGCGGUGACAGCCCAGGCACUUCCACACCCUCCAGUGGAGAAGAAAACCCGCCUGAGCCAGGAGCAAGGAGAGGCUUUUGGUUUUAGUCUCAGACUUGCUUUGAAGGAAUCUCUGGUAAGGACAGACCUGACUGUCCCCAUGGUGGGUGUUUUUUUUUUUUUUAACUGUUUAAGUGUCCCCUGGCCUAUGAUCACCAGGAAUGUGGGCAGCCACUCAUACUUCAUGGCUGGCAGGAUGGGGAAAUGGGCAAGGGUGGGAGCAAAGCAGAGCUCUGAGUGGGGGAGCAACUGCCCAGGGCUGUGCUGCACACAGAGGUGAAACAGACUGCAGUCAGUGUGGCAUCAGGAAACCAGAGCCCACUGGGGGCUGUGAGCCCACUACAGAGGCUGCCCAUCACGUGAAGGUCUCUGGGAGCUGUGAAAAUAUUCAAGGCAGAAGUGAUGGCACUAUUGUCCUUGUAGGCAUGAGCUUCAACUGCCAGGGGUACAUACACCCCAGAGCGGACAAUGUCUCUGCACAAGAGGUACAAGGGCCUCUCACCCAAUGUCCAGCUCCCUCCUCCUAUCUGCAGAGCCCCCCCGCUAUGGAGGGUACCUGGAUACCAAUUUCUCAGCCUCUUUCCUAGGAGACAUUGUCAAUCAAACAGGAGAACCACCUGGAGCCCCAGGACCAUCUCGGCACCCCAAGAGAAAGAACCUGGGACUCCUCUCAGAGACGUCAACCUGACUUCCUGGAACAUCUGACCAAGCUUCACAAUUGUGCGCUCUGUCAGCAGGGUGAAUACACCACACCAAUCCAGAGACACACCUGUGGUGGCCCAGGUAGCGAGCUCACCUCCACAGCCGCCGUGGCUCCAGAGAAACCUUGGAAAAAGCAGUCGUGUCUCUGUCUUGGUUUCCUGAACCACAGCAUGGGGUGAGAGCUUUUCCUGCUGCCUGUUAGGGUUAGGAUUGGAUGAGAGAGUGGACUGUGGGUCAGCAUAAACUUCUGUGGACAGAUCGGGAAAUGGGGCCAGGACAGUGAAGGAGACCACAGCCCGGUGGCUCACAGGCGGGGGCUCUCCCUCCAUGACACACCUGUGUCCCCCUGAAGGCUCCUUUCCCUGCUGUGCCAGGACGACCCAACAGCCAGACGCACGCCCUCGUGGCAAUCCCUGUCCUCCUGUGGCCCUCCUGGGCUGACCGUCUCCCUACAGAACAAGAUCAUGUUGCCACGCAGGCCAGGAGGGCAACCAGAGGUCAGCAGCCCCAACCCCCAGGUUGCUACUGUCUCCUGCGCGGGGCACCCAAGCCAAGCUGGGAAGGCAGCGGCCCUCCUGUUCUGAGAGCCAGCAUCGACAGGGACCAGCAGCUGGCUCGGCAGCUCCAGCCACAGACCAACUGGGGAAGCGGCAAGUCAGAAAGCAGGGACAAGAGCAGUCUCCAGGCUGUUUAGAGGCCAUGAGUCCACAAAGCACAGCUGCGGUCAGAUGAUGUGGCACCUGAGAGGACACACAUGGCUGACAAAGGCAGACCCAGCAGCUAAGGUCUUGCUCCCACACUGGGUUCAUCCAAUCCUCAAGGCUGCUCCAGAGGCCCCUUCUGCAUGAAGCUUCACCACCCACCAGGCCACCUUCAUGCAAUUCAUGGAGCUACACUGAGCGUAGUGCCCUCGCCACGUUUCCUAGUGGCUGGCUGCCCAGGUAGCCUCCCGGUGAUGAUGAGCUGGCACGACAUCUCACUCACGGCACCCUGUGCCUGGCACAGUUUGCCCAUCGUCUGAGGCUGCAGGGGAGUCCUGACCUGGCCUCUGCAUUCCAGGGAGGCCGAGGGUGCCCAGGGGUCACCAUGUCCACUGGACUCAGCAGUGGGUGGGAGGAUGGGAGCACCAGGAGGGUUUUCACAGCUGCCACACAGCAGGAGCCGCGCAGGGCCCAUGGGACAGGGUGCCUCUUCGAUGGCCGCAGCAACAAAGCUGAAACUGCAGAGCAGCGUCCACACUGGGAACAGAGGAUCAUGGGGAUAGGCCAGGCCCCCCUACGCGCUCAGCAGCCUUGCAGGUGUCCAAGGAGUGGAGGGACAGACCUCUACAAUUCUUGAGAACUCCCUCAGGGAUGCCAGUGCCCACCCUCCACACUCUGCAGUCUGGCUUCGGGUUCUCGCCUUUCCAACUGAUUGCCAGGACACCCCAUCCUCAAGUCUGGUAAGUUGGCCCCGUGCACACCCCGCCUCUGAGCAGCAGCUCAAGCCACACUGGAAGGGCCUGGCCUCUGGGGUGGGCUCUGCCUAUCCUUGAAGUUUCACUGGCCACCUUCACAAGGAUGUCCUCCAGCCAUUCCACCCACGGGCAGCUCUUCCUUACAGCUCUGAGGUCAGCACAGACCCAGGAGGGGCACGGUGAGAACAGAGGCCCUGUGGGGCCCUCCUCCUCACUGCCACCUUCAGUGUUCUGUCAGGGCCUAGGAGAGAGAUCCCAGCGUCAACUGCGCAGGCCACCUCCAUGCUGCUCCAAGCCAGAGCUCUGAGGGUGUCAGGGUGGCUGCCCAGUGCAGCAUGGGCCUCUCCCCGCUCUGGGUGCAACAGCAGGUGGGACUUAACCUUCCAAAGAGACUCACAAGUUCCCACCUGCUUCUGACAAUGAAGAGAGAUGGGGUCCUGCCACAUGCAGUCAGCCUCCACCUCCACCCAUAGUUCCCUGCUGUCCCUCAGUGCUCAGCCCCCACCUCCACCCAUAGUUCC